ACUCAAAGGAAUAGACGGGGGCCCGCACAAGCAGCGGAGCGUGUGGUUUAAUUCGAUGUUACACGAAGAACCUUACCAGGGUUUGACAUGCAGGUGGUAGGGAACCGAAAGGGGACCGACUCUUCGGAGAGCCUGCACAGGUGCUGCAUGGCUGUCGUCAGCUCGUGUCGUGAGAUGUUCGGUUAAGUCCGCUAACGAGCGCAACCCUCGCUGUGUGUUAUACGUGUCACACGGGACUGCCGGUCUUAAGCCGGAGGAAGGUGGGGAUGACGUCAAGUCAGCAUGGCCUUUAUAUCCUGGGCUACACACACGCUACAAUGGCCAACACAACAGGUCGCGAAACCGCGAGGUGGAGCCAAUCCCCAAAGUUGGUCUCAGUUCAGAUCGCAGGCUGCAACCCGCCUGCGUGAAGACGGAGUUGCUAGUAACCGCAGGUCAGCUAUACUGCGGUGAAUACGUUCCCGGGCCUUGUACACACCGCCCGU
RNAcentral lists this ribosomal RNA (485 nucleotides) under uncultured bacterium. RNAcentral's name for it is "bacterial SSU rRNA". It matches the Rfam family "Bacterial small subunit ribosomal RNA", at positions 899 to 1397 of the family's 1533-position model. The record is from RNAcentral.